GACGAACGCUGGCGGCGUGCUUAACACAUGCAAGUCGUACGGUAAGGCCCUUUCCGGGGUACACGAGCGGCGAACGGGUGCGUAACACGUGCGUAACCUGCCCACAACUUUGGGAUAACGCUAGGAAACUGGUGCUAAUACUGGUUAUGUGCUCCUGCUGCAUGGUGGGGGUUGGAAAGCUCCGGCGGUUGUGGGUGGCCUCGCGGCCUAUCAGCUUGUUGGAGGGGUAGUGGCCUACCAAGGCGGCGACGCGUAGCCGGCCUGAGUGGGUGACCGGCGACAUUGGGACUGAGAUACGGCCCAGACUCCGACGGGAGGCAGCAGGGGGGAAGAUUGCACAAUGGGCGCAAGCCUGAUGCAGCAACGCCGCGGGCGGGAUGACGGCCUUCUGGUUGUAAACCGCUUUCAGCAGGGACGAAGCUUUUUGUGACGGUACCUACAGAGAAAGCAACGGCUAACUACGUG
RNAcentral lists this ribosomal RNA (465 nucleotides) under uncultured bacterium. RNAcentral describes it as "partial 16S ribosomal RNA". It matches the Rfam family "Bacterial small subunit ribosomal RNA", at positions 28 to 507 of the family's 1533-position model. The record is from RNAcentral.